This 45-nucleotide non-coding RNA is filed under the name Schistosoma margrebowiei. Lineage: Eukaryota; Metazoa; Platyhelminthes; Trematoda; Strigeidida; Schistosomatidae. The record is from RNAcentral.
ACCCAACUGAGGAGUCCCAAAUAGGACGAAACGCACAUUAUGGAU